GUGUAGUUGUAGUUGUAGUUGGUGCUGGUUUAGGUGGUGUUGUAGUUGGUGCUGGUGUAGGUAGUGUUGUAGUUGUUGCUAGUGUAGGUAGUGUUGUAGUUGGUGCUAGUGUAGGUAGUGUCGUAGUUGUAGAUGGUCCCAGAUAAGGCAGGGUUGUAGUUGUAGUUGGUGCUGGUGUAGGUAGUGUUGUAGUUGUAGAUGGUCCCAGAUUAGGCAGGGUUGUAGUUGGUGCUAGUGUAGGUAGUGUUGUAGUUGGUGCUAGUGUAGGUAGUGUUGUAGUUGUAGAUGCUGCCAAAUUAGGCAGGGUUGUAGUUGUAGUUGGUGCCAGAGUAGGCAGUGUUGUAGUUGGUGCUGGUGUAGGUAGUGUUGUAGUUGGUGCUAGUGUAGGUAGUGUUGUAGUUGUAGAUGGUGCCAGAGUAGGCAGGGUUGUAGUUGUAGUUGGUGCUGGUGUAGGUAGUGUUGUAGUUGUAGAUGGUGCCAGAGUAGGCAGGGUUGUAGUUGUAGUUGGUGCCAGAGUAGGCAGUGUUGUAGUUGGUGCUGGUGUAGGUAGUGUUGUAGUUGAAGUCUGUGUUGGUGUAGGUGGUGUUGUAGUUGCAGUUGUAGUCGGUGCCUAAGUAGGUGGUGCUGUAGUCGGUGCCUAAGUAGGUGGUGUUGUAGUUGCAGUUGUAGUCUGUGCCUAAGUAG
This is a long non-coding RNA of Cyprinus carpio carpio, 684 nucleotides long. The record is from Ensembl. Lineage: Eukaryota; Metazoa; Chordata; Actinopteri; Cypriniformes; Cyprinidae.